UCAGCACACACCAGAAAGAGAGCAAGGAAACCAGCCAGGAGAGAAAAUGGGGCUCUUUAAUCCGGUUUCUGUACUCCACCUCAGCAAGUGGAGUAGUGCUAAAAUCGAGAUUGCAGUUCCGAAUUAGAGGUACUGUGGACACAAUUUGACAUUAUUGGCAUCCGGGAGCUAUCCCAGAAUGCUUCCUUGUGACCACUCUGGACAACACUCUCAACUCCGAUGUACUUGCCAGGAGUUGCAGGGAGAAUGACUUUUUGGAGGAUGAAGAGGAGAAGGAGGAGGACAGUGCACAAGCGACAAGUGGGGAAUCCGUUUUCCCCCAUCAAGGUUCCCUCCCCACUCUGAACUUUAGGGUACAGAUGUGGGGACCUGAAUGAAAG
Mauremys mutica (yellowpond turtle) is the source of this 380-nucleotide long non-coding RNA. RefSeq lists it as uncharacterized. Lineage: Eukaryota; Metazoa; Chordata; Testudines; Geoemydidae. The transcript has 3 exons. The record is from RefSeq and is a predicted model, not a curated record.